Long non-coding RNA from Rosa rugosa (rugosa rose), 729 nucleotides. RefSeq lists it as uncharacterized. NCBI's taxonomy places the organism in Eukaryota, Viridiplantae, Streptophyta, Magnoliopsida, Rosales, Rosaceae. The transcript has 6 exons. The record is from RefSeq and is a predicted model, not a curated record.
AGUAUUAAGUAUUGGAUAUUGCUGUCUUCAGUGUGAAGGUGAUCAGCUAUACUGAAAACUUUGAAUGGGUUUUGUCAUGAGAAGCAACUAAUGCUGCCAUUUUGCCCAAAGAACAAUGACGUUUACAUGCAUCUAUGCAAUCUAAAUGGGAAAAGCUGCAUGUUCUUCAGAAGGAGUGUCGAGAGCAAAAUAUUUAUCUCAGAUAUACUGCAUGUAUAUCAACAAUGGAACUUGGAGCAUUGACUUCAUGGAGCCUUGCUUGUUUACAGAAGGUCAUUGAACCAAAGGUGAUACAUCGAGACAUUAAGCAAAGGUUUCUUCUUGGCCACUAAGCACUUUGUAGUACCUUUCAAAUUUUCUACGAUCAGCCAUCCCAAGAUAUAUUCUAUAUGGCUGAUACUGAUAAGGAAAUUGUUUUCUUCCAUAUACACAUUGGUACUGACAUUACAGAUGAGAAAGAGCAGUUACUGAUAUUGGUUUGCCAAAUCAAGUUUGAUAAGGAAAUUGAAUUCAAGAGGGAGUUGCCACCAGGUGAGAUAAUGGUAAUGCCGCUGGAUGCCACUGUUGGACAGCUAAAACAGUUAGCUGAGUGUCCUGAGGGAUACAUAUCAAAGGGUUGGAGGGAUCAGAUGAUAUGGAAGUAGUUUCUGGAGCAGUUUAAUCGAUAACAGUUUGCGUAUGAUAUGUACGAUAUUUUAUCAGUUUAAUUAAGAAUGAAGUUAUUUUCAA